This 507-nucleotide ribosomal RNA is filed under the name uncultured bacterium. RNAcentral's name for it is "bacterial SSU rRNA". It matches the Rfam family "Bacterial small subunit ribosomal RNA", at positions 8 to 507 of the family's 1533-position model. The record is from RNAcentral.
AGAGUUUGAUCAUGGCUCAGAUUAAACGCUGGCGGCAUGCCUUACACAUGCAAGUCGAACGGCAGCACGGGGUGGUAACACCCUGGUGGCGAGUGGCGAACGGGUGAGUAAUACAUCGGAACGUACCCUGAAGUGGGGAUAACGUAGCGAAAGUUACGCUAAUACCGCAUAUUCUGUGAGCAGGAAAGAGGGGGAUCGCAAGACCUCUUGCUUUAGGAGCGGCCGAUGUCGGAUUAGCUAGUUGGUGAGGUAAAGGCUCACCAAGGCGACGAUCCGUAGCGGGUCUGAGAGGAUGAUCCGCCACACUGGGACUGAGACACGGCCCAGACUCCUACGGGAGGCAGCAGUGGGGAAUUUUGGACAAUGGGCGCAAGCCUGAUCCAGCCAUGCCGCGUGAGUGAAGAAGGCCUUCGGGUUGUAAAGCUCUUUCGGUGGGGAAGAAAUUGCUACGGUUAAUACCUGGAGUAGAUGACGGUACCCGCAUAAGAAGCACCGGCUAACUACGUG